GGGGAAUAUUGGACAAUGGGCGCAAGCCUGAUCCAGCAAUGCCGCGUGUGUGAAGAAGGCCUGCGGGUUGUAAAGCACUUUCAGUGGGGAGGAAGGCCUCGGCGUUAAUAUCGUCGAGGAUUGACGUUACCUACAGAAGAAGCACCGGCUAACUCUGUGCCAGCAGCCGCGGUAAUACAGAGGGUGCAAGCGUUAAUCGGAAUUACUGGGCGUAAAGGGCGCGUAGGUGGUUAAUUAAGUCAGAUGUGAAAUCCCCGGGCUUAACCUGGGAAUUGCAUUUGAAACUGAUUGGUUAGAGUACGGGGGAGGGAAGUGGAAUUUCCGGUGUAGCGGUGAAAUGCGUAGAUAGCGGAAGGAACACCAGUGGCGAAGGCGACUUCCUGGCCCGUUACUGACACUGAGGCGCGAAAGCGUGGGGAGCGAACA
This 426-nucleotide ribosomal RNA is filed under the name uncultured bacterium. Its description in RNAcentral is "bacterial SSU rRNA". It matches the Rfam family "Bacterial small subunit ribosomal RNA", at positions 356 to 774 of the family's 1533-position model. The record is from RNAcentral.